AAAUUUGAAAUCUGGCUCCUAGAGUCCGAGUUGUAAUUUGUAGAGGAUGCUUUUGAUGCGGUGCCUUCCGAGUUCCCUGGAACGGGACGCCAUAGAGGGUGAGAGCCCCGUCUGGUCGGAUGCCAAAUCUCUGUAAAGCUCCUUCGACGAGUCGAGUAGUUUGGGAAUGCUGCUCAAAAUGGGAGGUAUAUGUCUUCUAAAGCUAAAUAUUGGCCAGAGACCGAUAGCGCACAAGUAGAGUGAUCGAAAGAUGAAAAGCACUUUGAAAAGAGGGUUAAAUAGUACGUGAAAUUGUUGAAAGGGAAGCGCCUAUGACCAGACUUGGGUCCGGUGAAUCAUCCAGCGUUCUCGCUGGUGCACUUUGCCGGGCACAGGCCAGCAUCAGUUUGUCUUGGGGGAAAAAGGCUUUGGGAACGUGGCUCCCUCGGGAGUGUUAUAGACCAUUGCAUAAUACCCUGGGACGGACUGAGGUUCGCGCAUCUGCAAGGAUGCUGGCGUAAUGGUCAUCAGCGACCCGUCUUGAAACACGGACCAAGGAGUCGUCUUCGUAUGCGAGUGUUCGGGUGUAAAACCCCUACGCGUAAUGAAAGUGAACGCAGGUGAGAGCUUCGGCGCAUCAUCGACCGAUCCUGAUGUUCUCGGAUGGAUUUGAGUAAGAGCAUACGGGGCCGGACCCGAAAGAAGGUGAACUAUUCCUGUAUAGGGUGAAGCCAGAGGAAACUCUGGUGGAGGCUCGCAGCGGUUCUGACGUGCGAAUCGAUCGUCA
This 766-nucleotide ribosomal RNA is filed under the name Simplicillium lanosoniveum. RNAcentral's name for it is "LSU rRNA". It matches the Rfam family "Eukaryotic large subunit ribosomal RNA", at positions 111 to 907 of the family's 3401-position model. The record is from RNAcentral. Lineage: Eukaryota; Fungi; Ascomycota; Sordariomycetes; Hypocreales; Cordycipitaceae.